GGUGUGGGUAGAGCGGCGGACGGGUGAGUAACGCGUAGGAAUUUGCCCAGUAGUGGGGGACAACAUGUGGAAACGCAUGCUAAUACCGCAUACGCCCUAAGGGGGAAAGCAGGGGAUCUUCGGACCUUGCGCUAUUGGAGAAGCCUGCGUCGGAUUAGCUAGUUGGUGGGGUAGAGGCCCACCAAGGCGACGAUCCGUAGCUGGUCUGAGAGGAUGAUCAGCCACACUGGGACUGAGACACGGCCCAGACUCCUACGGGAGGCAGCAGUGAGGAAUAUUGGGCAAUGGAGGCAACCCUGAUCCAGCCAUGCCGCGUGUGUGAAGAAGGCCUUAGGGUUGUAAAGCACUUUCAGUAGGGAGGAAAAGUUAGUCGUUAAUAACGGCUAACCCUGACGUUACCUACAGAAGAAGCACCGGCAAACUCCGUGCCAGCAGCCGCGGUAAUACGGAGGGUGCGAGCGUUAAUCGGAAUUACUGGGCGUAAAGCGCACGUAGGCGGCUUUUUAAGCUAGAUGUGAAAGCCCUGGGCUCAACCUGGGAACUGCAUUUAGAACUGGAAGGCUAGAGUAUGGUAGAGGAGUGUGGAAUUUCAGGUGUAGCGGUGAAAUGCGUAGAGAUCUGAAGGAAUACCAGUGGCGAAGGCGGCCUCCUGGACUGAUACUGACACUGAGGGGCGAAAGCGUGGGGAGCAAACAGGAUUAGAUACCCUGGUAGUCCACGCCGUAAACGAUGUCUACUAGCCGUUGGGUUCCUUGAGGGUUUUGUGGCGCAGCUAACGCACUAAGUAGACCGCCUGGGGAGUACGGCCGCAAGGUUAAAACUCAAAUGAAUUGACAGGGGCCCGCACAAGCGGUGGAGCAUGUGGUUUAAUUCGAUCCAACGCGAAGAACCUUACCAGGUCUUGACAUCCUGCGAACUUUCUAGAGAUAGAUUGGUGCCUUCGGGAACGCAGUGACAGGUGCUGCAUGGCUGUCGUCAGCUCGUGUCGUGAAAUGUUGGGUUAAGUCCCGUAACGAGCGCAACCCUUGUCCUUAGUUGCCAGCACGUAAUGGUGGGAACUCUAAGGAGACUGCCGGUGACAAACCGGAGGAAGGUGGGGACGACGUCAAGUCAUCAUGGCCCUUACGACCUGGGCUACACACGUGCUACAAUGGAACGCACAGAGGGCAGCAAACCCGCGAGGGGGAGCGAAUCCCACAAAACGUUUCGU
Molecule: ribosomal RNA, 1210 nt
Filed under: uncultured prokaryote
Description: partial 16S ribosomal RNA
Rfam family: Bacterial small subunit ribosomal RNA
Source: RNAcentral